GCACCUAAAGCGUUUUGUGACUAACACAACCACAAACACAGUAUUAUGAUGUUUGUAGAUUUGGGACAUAUUUUGGUAAACCUUUUAUGGGGUCGAGCAACAAUUAAAUUCCGCAUAUUGUAUACCCUUUAAACCAAACGGCAAUCUGCUGCAAUCUUUUCAUCGUCACUCUGGUGCUCUCUUCGACCAGCGCCCCGACUCAUUGAACGCAUGCUGUGAUGAGACCGGUUCCUACGAGGCCAGACGAGAUCGAUUCUUAUCCGGACCAUUUCCCGGAUAGAAAGAACCGACUAUUCGAUAACGUGAUUUGAGUAAGGUUAAGAAGUCGUUUCAGCGCUGUCUACAGCAUUGUUCGUUAUGUCAAAGAAGAAGAAGAAGAAAAGCGGGAGGCUAUGAGCUUGCAAUGCCGCACGCGGCCUCGGUACGUGGGGGAUGGCGAAAUCCCCUGUAGAACAAAGAGAGCAGGGAGAUGGCAGGGAACUGUGGGGUCUUAUCGGCCACGGGCUGCAAUCGCCCAAGUGGUUCCGAUGAAGCGCUAGUAUGUGGUCAGCGAGUGCGCUAGGUAGUUCGGCAGGCGCCAGUCCGACCCGUGGGUGCAACGAGUUCGAGCCGACACAAAUGAACUGGAUCGUUUACGGAUGGUUCCGACAGAGAAGGAUUACGCUGGAUCUUUUCCGCGGGGCCCCACGCGGGCGCUUAGUUUGGUUUGGCCUCUGGUUAAUCCGCCCCUGCCCGCACCUCACUAUUGUUUGCCUUAAGGCUUACGGCAAAUACAGUUUAAAUUUGUUAUUCUAAACUAUACUAGCAUUAUUGAACAGCAAUACGAAAGAAAAGGAAUGGGAAGGAAAGAAGGAGAAAGGGAGUAAAUAAAUGGGGAACUAACCAGAGCGGAAGGGAGCGGAGGAGCAGGAAGGGUGAUAGUCGAAGAGGUGAGAUGAGAAGAUGAAAGCGGUGAUUGCGUGUAGUAGCGUUUACUGUUCCGAAGCGACGAUGGGUUCUAAACAAAGGGGGACGAGAGCGAAGCGAACUGGACGGAGCAUACAAGAACGGGGAGGACAUACAGGAAGGGAACAACAUGCAUUUUUUAAGUCGAUUUUCUUCCUUCUGUAUUGUCCACAUUGUCCACAUCUAUCUUAUGAGCUGCGGAUCGUACAAAGCUUCUUCAUCUUUUUCUUAUUUGACACAGUAACCAUUGCUUUUCUGCCUGCCUCAGCCACUUCUUUCUUCUUCUUGGCGCAACGACCUACGCGGUCAUGCCGGAUAGUUAACCGUUUGCUACGAUAGACGUCCAUACGAGGCUUGAACUCAUGGCGAGCAUGUUGCUAAGUCGUGCGAGUUGACGUGACCUGUUACUAAUUGUUUUACCCCUAGCGAGAUACGCACUCCUGGGCCAUUAGGAUCAAACGGGGCUUGAACGCAGGACGGUCAUGUUGUUGUGUUGUGUUCGGGUAGUACGACAACGAGGGGCAGCCAAAUCCAGCCAAGCCAUCCAUAAAAUGCGGGGGCGCGUGGAGCAGCUUUGCGAGUGAAAGGACCGGCUGCAUCACCGGCAAUUGAGGCUCCCGGGAGCCAGUCGCCACAGCCAAUCCUCGAGCGCAGCCGCAGUGCUAUCGACUAUGCAUGCAGCAUAAACGCCACUUACGCAUCCUGCGUCAGGCGAGAGUUGGAGCAAGCAGGGCAAAGCGAGCGAGGCCAAGCCGGGGCGGUUCGCUCCUCGCUUACAGCAUCGAGCGAGAGGUGUUACUGUUUCUCUUCCGAACAGUAGACCCCGGUAAUUAGGAUUAAAAGGGUACACCAUGGUGGGUAAAUCCUAACCUUCAAUCCGUGGGAGGAAGAGAGGAAGGGAGGAGGGGUGGGAGAAGAUUAGAGAGUUUGUACAUUAUUAAAGAAAAAAUAAUGGAAAGACAAUAUGUGUUCAAUGCUAUCCCUCAUUUUAAUAUUUGACCUUCCUUUGGCUUUAACUAAGCAUUGGUUGGCUUAACUUGAGCGGACUAGUGCAUUGAGUGAUCUUUUGUUUGAAUUAUUUUUUUUUUUGCACAAGUGCAACUAACUACACUAACAAAUAACAUAAAACCAGUACGAAGCAUGCAUUCAUUCGGUUCGGAAAAUAGCUCGAACGGUAAAUCGAUUCCAUCCACACGACAACUUGCGCGUUGAUCAAAUCCAGAUUCGAACGACGGCGCUCUAGCCAACGCGCAAUGCAUCAGCAGCCAAAAAAAACGGGAAGGAAAAAAACAAUAACCACAAGUCAAGCGCGCUCACACAAGGUCAAGCAUUCGCCAAUAACUGCUGGGAAAACGAAGGAGGUGGGGAAGGACGUCACUGAACACGCGUAUGAUCUGGUAGAACGGAUAAAGAA
Molecule: long non-coding RNA, 2359 nt
Organism: Anopheles coluzzii
Lineage: Eukaryota; Metazoa; Arthropoda; Insecta; Diptera; Culicidae
Exons: 2
Source: RefSeq, a predicted model, not a curated record